UACGUAGGGUCCGAGCGUUGUCCGGAAUUACUGGGCGUAAAGAGCUCGUAGGUGGUUUGUCGCGUUGUUCGUGAAAACUCACAGCUUAACUGUGGGCGUGCGGGCGAUACGGGCAGACUUGAGUACUGCAGGGGAGACUGGAAUUCCUGGUGUAGCGGUGGAAUGCGCAGAUAUCAGGAGGAACACCGGUGGCGAAGGCGGGUCUCUGGGCAGUAACUGACGCUGAGGAGCUAAAGCGUGGGGAGCAAACAGG
This 253-nucleotide ribosomal RNA is filed under the name uncultured bacterium. Its description in RNAcentral is "partial 16S ribosomal RNA". It matches the Rfam family "Bacterial small subunit ribosomal RNA", at positions 524 to 776 of the family's 1533-position model. The record is from RNAcentral.